This is a long non-coding RNA of Dromaius novaehollandiae (emu), 4656 nucleotides long. RefSeq lists it as uncharacterized. The transcript has 2 exons. The record is from RefSeq and is a predicted model, not a curated record. Lineage: Eukaryota; Metazoa; Chordata; Aves; Casuariiformes; Dromaiidae.
UAGAGAGAGUCAGAAGUAUACAUCUUGUGCAGUGCCUUUAAGUUAUACAAUUCUUAGAAAUGGAAUUCAGGUAUAUUGCUUAGAGGAUGAAUUUCCUUUUGGAAGGAAGAGUAGUUGAUGCAGAGAAGUUCAGCUAGUACUUUAUUAGUGUGGGGGUUUUUUUGUUUGUUUCUUUGGUUUUUUUGUUUUUGUUUUUGGGUUUUUUUUGCAUACUGACACUGUAUAGAGAUUUACUCUUUAAAUAGUUGUAGGAAUUUCCAAAUUUUGGGUUGUCUUUGAGAUUUCUAUAGUGUCAGGCAGUCAAUCCUGUUUAUAAUUGUGCAGUAAUUUCUACUUUGUCACCAGGAGAGGAUUCCCGUAGUUCUGAUGUUGCUGGAAUAGCCUCCUCAGUUGUCAUGAUUAGGGGCAUUGGCAGAAGAGGGAGCCAGUUAAGGUAUCGACAUGUUUAGAAGUUACUUUGGCCAGGUAGAGGGGGGUGAUGGUGUUUGUUUGGUCCCCCCACCCAAUUCAUAUCUGUGCUUUGCUUCAGAAAUCAUUUGACUUUUCUUUGGGCUAGAUACUGUGGUCCAUUUUCUAUUAUACUUCUCCCUGAACAGUGUUGCAGAACAUGAUGUCUGUAGUGGCUGCAGAUAAAUCGAUUGCUGUCUAACCCAAAAACUCUUACAGUACGUGGAAUAAAAAACUUCAAAACUAGAUUUGAUUGGAUGUAGCCUGCAAUUCUGCGGUGGACUGUGGAUUACCACCAGAGACAGAGAAAAACUGGGAUAAUAAUUUUUUUGCAAUUAGAUGAGGUUGAAUUACCUGAAUUAAGUCUGAUCAGUUACUAUGGGCUACUGAUUUUGCUUAUUGAAAAAGAGUAUCACGUAACAAAUACAAACUGUCUCCUAUCUGCAGUGCUAAAUGUGGGAAUAGUCUUUGACUUGGUCUCCUUUUUAAAGUGAAUCAGGUAGUUGCGAGUCUGAACCCAUUCUUUGUGACUGUUCUGUAGGAAUUUAAUAUAUUGUGUUGCCCAGUGUUGGAAAUGAAGUGCUUUCCUUUCAUAUUAUCAUCAUCAAACUUCACUUGCAGUCAGAAUCUUCUAGUAUUAUUCUGAAUUUGUACCAGCUAAUUAUCUGUUUCUGUUUAAUUUGUAAGUAGCUGGAACUGCUCUUCCACCUGUAGUUUGUUCUUUCAAUUUCUGAGCUCUUUAAGUGGGGGGGGGGGGAGAAAUAGUGUUUUUUCUGAGGUCACAUACAUGAUGUAUGAAAAUAAGUUCACUCAAAAGAGUAAUAACUCAUAUCUUUAGGGCUUGAAAACUAAAUUUGAAUGGAUUCAGGCAAUGGUCUGCAUGCUGACUGGAACAGAAAAUAAAUGCAGUUUAUCCUGCUAAGAUAGGCUACCAAGGUUUUGUUAUGCAAUUGGACUUUUUUAAAAAGAGCUCAUCAUCUAGUUGCUGCCUGUUACCUUGCAUGCAGGAGACCACCAUUUAUUUUUAAAUAUGCUUUAAACGCUUGGCAUAAUAAGCAUUAACUUUAAAACCUAAUAGGAACACAACAGAGCAACCACAUUCCUAAAAGGGGUGGUAUUUACAUUAUGUUGUUACUUUAUGAUACUGGCCUUUCUCACCAGGUGGAGCUACGAUACACAGCGUACAGAUGAGCAGUCCAGCCGUUAUUACCAGGCAACUCCAGAGAGAUCUUUCCAUGCUUCACAAAUCUGUUUCAGCUUUUUAGUUUCAUUCUUAAGAGCAUCACCAGUGAAGUAAAUUGAUUUCCAUGCCUUUGUAUUAUGAAAUGUACUCACAAAGAAUAUAAAUGUAUAUAUACCCAUAUAAAGCCAUAUAAAAUAACCACAGUUAUUCUGUAGUCAGGAGUGACUUAAUAGCUAAAUGCUUUGCCACUCUUUCUAUGAUACUCUAGAAUUUCUUAGAGCUCUUUUCUUGGGGCAGAUUUUUUGAGAGAAAGAUUUAAGGCUUUGACAUUUCAGUUUCCAAAUCUUGGAAAAUCUUGGCUCUUUUAUUUAUUAAACGUGUCAUCACCUGGGGGAGUCAGAAACACUUGGUUAGUUGGAUUCUGUUGACUUUAAAAGCAUCAGCGUAUUCAUUUUAACAAAAUAAUUGAGUAUUUCGACCAUAAACCGCUGUUCCUUAGUCCAAAGGCUUUGAUAUGCCUGUGACAGAUGAGGCCUGCCAUUCACGACAUUGGUGGAUUGGAUCACCAGCCUCUUGAGCAGUGGUGACUUAAUAAAACAUUUUAUUGCAUCAUUUCAGUUGGACUUGACGAAGUUUGAUUUCUGUUCAUCAACUACCAGACUUCAAAAUGUCCAUUAUUGUGAGUUAACUUUUGAGUAAAAUCACUGACAAAAGUAUUUAUGGUUUUGAGCAUCACUGAAAUGCAUGUUUAAGCAAUGAAGAAGACCUCUGUAAUGCACAGGAAAGUUGCAUUAUUCUGCUAUGCCAACUACGUUAUGUAUGUUGGCCUCUGAGACAGAUGUGAAAGAGUAACUUUCAAAUUAAUGCAGAGAAAGCACACAAGUAUUUUAGUUUUUAACAGUAUCAUUGUAUUCCCUGGUAGCCAUUUACUUUCACAUUCAACUGAUGUUGUUAUAUGUGAAUGUUAUAUCCAUGUAAACAUUCUUGAAGGAGCUGUUUGAAAAAACCUGCUAUUUCUCUAACACAGUAACAAGAGUCCAUAAGUAAUUCAGUAUCUGCUCCAUUUUGGCUUUUGUGCAAAGUUAUUACAUUUCUAAUUAAGCUGAAGAUACCUGCAUAUAUACUGUUCAGUCUGCUGACACUGUAGACCUAACCACUGCUCUUGGUAUUUUCUGUGGUGCUGGAUAAUUGUUGGGGGGGGGGGAGUAUAUUCUGUACUGUAACUCUGCUAGAGACUAGCAGGAGGUGUUUUGUGUUUUUUGAUAAAUUGAGUGGAUUAUCUGUAGGCCCUUUUGGUUUGAAUGGUUGGACACUGAGGUUGACAAACUAGUUUUGUGAUCUUAUGUAUACAGCUGACAGGAGAUAUGGUAAGAUUGUGGAGAUUAAAUUAAUUUUCAUAUAAAAACCAAUGCAGUCAAGUAUUCUCCAUGUUCUAGCUGUUUUUGCUUUUGUAUUUGAUACUUCAGUGUAAAAAUAAUGCUUGGUUAUAAGCAGUAGCAGUAUUUUUAGUGAUAGUAAGAGAUUCUAUGAAAUACAUAUCUGACUUUGCUUAGCAUAAAUGUUAUAUUAGAUCUUGCAACUCUUGCUCAUUAAGGAAGAUUUUCAAAUGCAUAUAAGCUCUCACUGAGAAUUCUCAUCCUCCACAAGAGGAUUGCUUACAUAAUUAAGGAUUGCAUAUACAAAUAAAUAUAAGAUUAGAGAUCUAAUUCCCAAAGAGUAAAUAUUAUGCAUUAGUGACGAUACUAGUAUUAAGAUAUUGUUUUGGAGUACUGAAUUCAUAGUUUUUCAAAUUCCUUUCAGUAUCAUUAAUGCACAGUGUAGUUGCAUUGCCUAUUUUACGAUAUAAAAUAAAAAUCUAAAGAAUAUCAUAUUGUUUCUGUAUUAGCGAAAUGGAAAUACAUAUGAAAUCUUGUAACUAAUUUAAACUGUAAUCAUAUCAAGUAAACAUUCUGGACGUUACUAAGAAUAAGCAACAAUGGACACAUUUGGGUUGCUUUAAGAAGAGAUACGCAAUGAAUGACUGUGCAUGAAUAAUAUUAAAAUAAGUACUAUAAAAUUGAUGAAUUUCAAAUUCAUAUAAAUGAAAAGUAUAUGUAUAUUGUCUUAUCUGUUCCAGAAUCUAUAGAAUGUAAUGCUUAACCCCAUUAAGAACUUUGCAACAACAGCAAGAGAAAAAUUAGCCCGAAUAAACAGUGAGCAGAAAGAGAAGGAACUAUAGCAGAAAGAAGGAACCAAAAAACAGUGGAGGAAAUAAUAGAGAUGACUGAGAAGAGACCUAAGGAGAAUGGAAAGACAGACAAGGUUCAGCAUGAAGCAGCAAACCAUGGAGAACACUUACCAUCAACAGAGAUAAGCGAUAAGUGAUAAUGCAGAACCACAUUUCUCUGUAACCUUCUUGUUCCUUGGGGCCUUGGUGAUUGUGACUCACAAGUUAGAAGGUGACAGUAAAGAAUUAUUUAAAAGAAAAGUCUUAAUGGUUGUUCAGGAUAAUAGUUCAAUUUUAUGGUGGGUCCUGAAUGAGAGACUGUUGAUUCCCUGCUCAAGCACUGAGUAGUUGUACUGCAUACAAAGUGCCAUCACAUUUGCUGUUCUUUCCUCCCUAUUAAUUUUAUUUACUUUCUGUGAUAUAACAUAAAGGAUUUUAGGAGACAAAGAUGGUUAAAUUUACCUUGGCUAAUGCUAGGCAGAAGAAUGCUUAAGAAAAGCAGUUUUAUUCAUGUAUUUUUCUUGAUAGAGGCUGUUUAUCUGCUUGGAUGUCGUCUCUGUGUAUCCAGUAUUCUCUUCUACGAUGUUUUUUCAUGUCGGUAUCAGUCAAUGAAAUAGAUUAAACGCUGUUGAAAUAGUCCGCUACAGAAAUCCAGCACUGUUCCAGCAGUGAAGAGAUUUUGGAUAUUGGGUAUUCUUGAAAUAGUUUCUGGGGUAGCUUCUGCCACCAACAAACCUUAUGGGACUAUUCUUCAGGAUUAAAGUGUAGAUGGCAAAAAUAUGGAGGGCAUUAUAGAUUAAUAUUCAUAAUGAUAAAUUUC